CAUGCAGUACUAAGAAAGAGACAUUCCUUAAUUUCUCACACUAUUUUAGACUUUAUUCAUAAAAAAUUAUGUCUCAUAUAUAAAUAUUUUAUGUGAAAUUAAAGCUCUGUUUCUGAACAGAAAUCUGUAUAAUAAGUGUGGGUGCACUUAAUACAAAAGAGGUAAAUUAUGGUUAAACAGACAUAUAGUCAAAUUCCAGGUUUUGUUUUGAUCAGAACUUGUACUUUUGCAUCCAUCCCUAAUAUAUACUGUAGUGGAG
This is a non-coding RNA of Pelobates cultripes (western spadefoot toad), 259 nucleotides long. The record is from the annotation of a GenBank genome assembly. Lineage: Eukaryota; Metazoa; Chordata; Amphibia; Anura; Pelobatidae.